AAGUCAUACGGGAUACGGGGUAACUCGGGUCUAGUGGCGAACGGGUGAGUAUCGCGUGGGAAACCUGCCCUUGAGACGGGGAUAACACCUCCAACGGGGUGCUAAUACCGGAUAAGACCACGGAGUCGCAUGGCUCUGCGGUCAAAGGUGGCCUCUACUUGUAAGCUACCACUUAAGGAUGGUCCCGCGUCCCAUUAGCUAGUUGGUAGGGUAAUGGCCUACCAAGGCUACGAUGGGUAGCUGGUCUGAGAGGAUGGUCAGCCACACUGGGACUGAGAUACGGCCCAGACUCCUACGGGAGGCAGCAGUCGAGAGGCUUCGGCAAUGGGGGAAACCCUGACCGAGCGACGCCGCGUGGGCGAUGAAGGCCGUUAGGUUGUAAAGCCCUGUCGAGCGGGAAAAAUUGUAGGCGGGUGAACAAUCCGCUUAUUUGAUGGUACCGUUAAAGGAAGCUCCGGCCAACUCCAUGCCAGCAGCCGCGGUAAUACGGGGGGAGCGAACGUUGUUCGGAAUUACUGGGCGUAAAGGGCGUGC
This 534-nucleotide ribosomal RNA is filed under the name uncultured bacterium. RNAcentral's name for it is "bacterial SSU rRNA". It matches the Rfam family "Bacterial small subunit ribosomal RNA", at positions 59 to 572 of the family's 1533-position model. The record is from RNAcentral.